GAUGAACGCUGGCGGCGUGCCUAAUACAUGCAAGUCGAGCGAACAGACGAGGAGCUUGCUCCUCUGACGUUAGCGGCGGACGGGUGAGUAGCACGUGGAUAACCUACCUAUAAGACUGGGAUAACUUCGGGAAACCGGAGCUAAUACCGGAUAAUAUAUUGAACCGCAUGGUUCAAUAGUGAAAGACGGUUUUGCUGUCACUUAUAGAUGGAUCCGCACCGCAUUAGCUAGUUGGUAAGGUAACGGCUUACCAAGGCAACGAUGCGUAGCCGACCUGAGAGGGUGAUCGGCCACACUGGAACUGAGACACGGUCCAGACUCCUACGGGAGGCAGCAGUAGGGAAUCUUCCGCAAUGGGCGAAAGCUUGACGGAGCAACGCCGCGUGAGUGAUGAAGGUCUUCGGAUCGUAAAACUCUGUUAUUAGGGAAGAACAAAUGUGUAAGUAACUAUGCACGUCUUGACGGUACCUAAUCAGAAAGCCACGGCUAACUACGUG
Molecule: ribosomal RNA, 497 nt
Filed under: uncultured bacterium
Lineage: Bacteria
Description: partial 16S ribosomal RNA
Rfam family: Bacterial small subunit ribosomal RNA
Source: RNAcentral